GACGAACGCUGGCGGCGUGCCUAACACAUGCAAGUCGAGCGGAGUCGAUCGACGGAAGCCUUCGGGCGGAAGAUGGUUGACUUAGCGGCGGAUGGGUGAGUAACGCGUGGGCAACCUGCCUCGAAGACCGGGAUAACAGCCCGAAAGGGCUGCUAAUACCGGAUGUGGUCAAGGAUCCGCAUGGAUUUUUGAUUAAAGGGGAAACCCGUUUCGAGAUGGGCCCGCGUCCUAUCAGCUAGUUGGUGAGGUAAAAGCUCACCAAGGCGACGACGGGUAGCCGGCCUGAGAGGGUGACCGGCCACACUGGAACUGAGACACGGUCCAGACUCCUACGGGGGCAGCAGUGGGGAAUCUUCCACAAUGGGCGAAAGCCUGAUGGAGCGACGCCGCGUGAGCGAAGAAGGCCUUCGGGUUGUAAAGCUCUGUCUGGAGGGACGAAGGAAGUGACGGUACCUCCGGAGGAAGCCACGGCUAAUACGUGCCAGCAGCCGCGGUAAAGUCACGUCG
RNAcentral lists this ribosomal RNA (507 nucleotides) under uncultured bacterium. RNAcentral's name for it is "bacterial SSU rRNA". It matches the Rfam family "Bacterial small subunit ribosomal RNA", at positions 28 to 531 of the family's 1533-position model. The record is from RNAcentral.